Brassica napus (rape) is the source of this 2347-nucleotide RNA transcript. It is a transcript of the gene named phosphoenolpyruvate carboxylase 2-like, with no coding region annotated. Lineage: Eukaryota; Viridiplantae; Streptophyta; Magnoliopsida; Brassicales; Brassicaceae. The record is from RefSeq and is a predicted model, not a curated record. The transcript is spliced from 4 exons.
GGCAAAACAGGACACGUCAGCGUUCUCAUUUCCCGUAAGAAAGUUAACUCAAUUUCAGUGUGGGCCGUUUACGUUAGUAUUGAAAUGAUGAGGCCCAAUUCACAAACACAACAAGCCUAACGUAAUCUCACUCCUUCUUCAACCAUGGCUGUCUGCUCGAAUACCUUCACCGGAUUUGCCAUAGCUGAAACGUAACUCUUUUCUAAGCCAUUGAAAUUAAUCUUAUUAUUAAAAUUCACCAUUAACUCUUUCAUUCAAGCUCUCAUGAUUUAAUUACCCCUUACCUAACUUCAAUCACUAAUCCCUAAUUUGCUCAACGUAAAUAUGGAUGAAGAAAACUCAGAAUCUCACUGCUACGCCUAAUACAACCGUUCUGCUUCCUUAUGCAAACAACCAGCAACAAUGGUUUCAGCCCAUAUAUUUGAUUUGAAGUCCGUUUGUGUCUCUCAAACGGUGGUGACGCGUCUUCAGCGUUUAUGGGAAGCACGGAAAGGAGGGGAGCUGAUGGAACUUCACCUGCUUCUGCUUGAUGAUAAGAUCAGGCCCCUGCAACAAUAGACUCCGACAUUGAAGAGACUCUCAAGAGUCUCUUGCUGCCAAAAAGACUUCUGAGUAGGUGUUUGAUGCUCUCAAGAAUCAGCAUGUUGACUUGGAUAUGUGAUUGUUUUACACAGUUAUAUGCGAAGAACAUUACUCCUACUGAUAACACGGACUCGAUGAAGCUCCGAACAAGAGUUAUACACAAACAAAGAACUCUCUGUAAAGCUUUCUUUAUUGCAUGAGAUAUACUAAAGCUAUGUAUUUGUUUCACCAGAUUCAAGCUGCUUUUGUCAUGGAUGAAAAUCUGAAGAAUUCCACCUACACCACAAGAAAAUGAGAGUGGGUAUGAGCUACUUCCAUGAAAAAAAACUGAAAAGGAGUUCGGAAAUUCUUGAGACGUUUUGGCACGGCUCCGAAUAACAUUUGGAUCGAGCAUGGUCAUUACAAUGCACCUCUCAUUCAGUUCUCUUCUUCUAUAGGAAACCCACAAGAAACUCCUGAAGUUACAAGAGAUGCAUGCUUACGACCCUGGUUCGAGGUGGUUGAUCAGUUGACUCAUUCACCAUUCCUUUUGCAAUUUGAAAGGUGGACAGUCUCAUUACGGUUCAAUAUAUGAAAUGACUAAUUGAUAGUCUUUUUUUAACUACUACCGAAUCACAGCUUCAUGAUUCUCUCUUAGUUUUAGAGUUACCGUAAGUUGUAGUUUGCCAAUAAAUAAUGGUUAUAGAGUUUAUAGAAAAUAACAAUGCUAUUACAACAAUUUCUCAGUGUCCUGUUUAUGACAAUAUCUUGCUUUAUGUUUCAGUAGAAGGGCAGUUCCAGGACCAAAAUAAGUAUGAAAGAUUGUAAAAAACUAUUCAAGUCUGUUUCAGCAGGUUAGUAACAAUGGAUUUGUGUUAUUGUGUAAUGGAAUUAUUACUAAUUAACAAACCUUGAAAACAGUACUUCUAUACAUUUAAGAUUUUAAAAGGUUGAUGUGUUCAUGUACAAUCAAACAGAGUUCACUAUGUAUAGUAAAAAACUAAAAACAAUAAGUAAUGAUGACAAAAAAUGCAAAGGAAAAGAUGCUCUCAUCACGAGACGUAACAAUCUGGAAAUGAUUCUAGAUGUAGAAACUCAAAUAAGAACCUUAAAACAACAGAGGCCGAACACAAUGUCAAAGAUACACGAACAGUGAUUUAGUAAUUGCCAAAUAUUUCCACUCCUUAUUAGCAUGAUUACUUUUUUUUUCUUCCUGAAGACAUAGCGUUUUAAGUAGCAAAUGGUCAUCUAACUAAUUCCUUGACAGAGUUCUCUAAAUGCAAGAUACAUUUUACCUACACAAAUCACAAGAAGUAAUUGAGCAUAUGGACACUGAACAAUUACAUGAUCCCAAGAACGCAAAGCAAACAUAACAAGGUAUAAGAUUCUAGCAAGCAGUUGUUUAGUAACUUGCCAAAUUAAUCCAGUGGUAUUGUAAAAUACAUAAUAUAACUUAAACUUGGUAAAGAAUAUAGUAAAAAAUUAACAUAUUCGUGAAAACACAUUAUACAAUUCAUAAAUCCAAUAAUAUAUAGAGAACUUUCAAAAGAACAAAAAAUGUUGGUUGAUCUAUUUCAAUAUUAUUAGUCCCAAACUCAAGUUUUGAGAAACUAACAAAAAAUAUAAAACAACAACCAAUGAUUAAUACAUAAUCAAAACAAUUUUUUAAAAAUAGUUAUAAAAAACAAAAAUCUUAUUGAUUUUUCUCUCUUUCUGGUAGAAGCUCAAGGUAAGGGAAAUUAGCAAGAAAUUAUUAGAAAACCAUGACAAAGAAUUGAUACACAAA